RNAcentral lists this ribosomal RNA (494 nucleotides) under uncultured bacterium. RNAcentral describes it as "partial 16S ribosomal RNA". It matches the Rfam family "Bacterial small subunit ribosomal RNA", at positions 28 to 506 of the family's 1533-position model. The record is from RNAcentral.
GACGAACGCUGGCGGCGUGCCUAAUACAUGCAAGUAGAACGCUGAUGGAGGAGCUUGCUCUUCUGGAUGAGUUGCGAACGGGUGAGUAACGCGUAGGUAACCUGCCUGGUAGCGGGGGAUAACUAUUGGAAACGAUAGCUAAUACCGCAUAACAGUAGAUGUUGCAUGACAUUUACUUAAAAGGUGCAAUUGCAUCACUACCAGAUGGACCUGCGUUGUAUUAGCUAGUUGGUGGGGUAACGGCUCACCAAGGCGACGAUACAUAGCCGACCUGAGAGGGUGAUAGGCCACACUGGGACUGAGACACGGCCCAGACUCCUACGGGAGGCAGCAGUAGGGAAUCUUCGGCAAUGGACGGAAGUCUGACCGAGCAACGACGCGUGAGUGAAGAAGGUUUUCGGAUCGUAAAGCUCUGUUGUAAGAGAAGAACGAGUGUGAGAGUGGAAAGUUCACACUGUGACGGUAUCUUACCAGAAAGGGACGGCUAAAUACGU